RNAcentral lists this ribosomal RNA (465 nucleotides) under Vreelandella stevensii. Its description in RNAcentral is "partial 16S ribosomal RNA". It matches the Rfam family "Bacterial small subunit ribosomal RNA", at positions 338 to 795 of the family's 1533-position model. The record is from RNAcentral. Lineage: Bacteria; Pseudomonadati; Pseudomonadota; Gammaproteobacteria; Oceanospirillales; Halomonadaceae.
CCUACGGGUGGCAGCAUUUUUUAAUCUUUUCCCCUGGCUGCCCCCCUGCCCCCGCCCCGCCGCGCGUGUGCCGCCGCCCCCCGGCUUGUACCCCACUUUCACCCCGCCCGCACCCCCCCUCCUUACCACCCAUCAGGAAAGACAUCACUCACAGAAGAAGCACCGGCUAACUCCGUGCCAGCAGCCGCGGUAAUACGGAGGGUGCGAGCGUUAAUCGGAAUUACUGGGCGUAAAGCGCGCGUAGGUGGCUUGAUAAGCCGGUUGUGAAAGCCCCGGGCUCAACCUGGGAACGGCAUCCGGAACUGUCAAGCUAGAGUGCAGGAGAGGAAGGUAGAAUUCCCGGUGUAGCGGUGAAAUGCGUAGAGAUCGGGAGGAAUACCAGUGGCGAAGGCGUCCUUCUGGACUGACACUGACACUGAGGUGCGAAAGCGUGGGUAGCAAACAGGAUUAGAUACCCGAGUAGUC